This is a long non-coding RNA of Pseudopipra pipra, 802 nucleotides long. RefSeq lists it as uncharacterized. The transcript is spliced from 2 exons. Lineage: Eukaryota; Metazoa; Chordata; Aves; Passeriformes; Pipridae. The record is from RefSeq and is a predicted model, not a curated record.
CAGCUGGAGAGAAGUGCACGUGUCUUUGGCACAUGCAUGUAAGAUGUAUCUUACAAUGCUGCUGGCCGCGGAAAUUUCUGUGGGUAAAUAAGAUUUCUGUGUCAAGGGCUGUCCAUAUGGCCUCUUUCAUCAGCACUAAUUCCACUUAGAUUAACUGCACAGCACGAAUAUGGGUCAAAGCCUGGAUUGUUGGGAGAAUGAGUUCCUGCUUGCAAAUUGCUUCCCGCAGAAGUGCUUGUUGGCAGCUGAGAUCAUAAUGCUCACACUCCUCACAAUAACCCACUUUGAGAUGUAUUUAGAGAGGGGUCUUGGCAGUCUGCUUGCUGCUUUUUCAUACAGAGUGCAGGCCUUGGUUUGUAAUCCCCCUCAGCUCAUCAAGGCAAUAGCUGCUGGGCCGUCAUCUUCUGAUUUUAUCUAGCACAAGGCAAAGCAUCUUCAUUUGGACCAGCAAUACCAACCACUUUGGAACUAAACCUAGUGAGUUGUUCCUGUGAACACUGUGCUCUGAUUGCAAAGGAAAUCGAGAGCCAUGGGGAAGAAGAAAAGGAACAGAUCUCAUGGUGUCCCUGGCUCGCAUGAGUCCACGGUUCCACUGAAAGUUGCUUCUUGCUUUUCUUUCUCCUUUGUCUACUCUACUGGUGGCACAGGUCCUGCAUUGCAGUCAGUCAUUCCUAAAUCUGAUUGUCUUCUAUUAUGUCAGGAUGCCUUAUGGGGGAAUUAUAAAACUUACCCAUAAACAGCCUGCUUCAUAACGUGGAUCAAAGCUACCAUGUGAAUAAACUUCAUUUGUUGUUUGUCUGAA